CGCUCCUUUCGAUGUGAAUCAGGCGCGUAUACGCAAUGCAUCUGUACACGAUUUCUCUACAUUAUGAUUCGCCGCAACAUCAAGGUCGGAAACGAGGAAACACUUCCAUAAAAGCAAAUAUCAUAGUAGAUUUUACGCAAAAUGGAUUGUACUCACAUAUAGCAUUGAAAGAAUAAGAAUAGUUUCAAUCCCACUUCGUGGAUUAAAAUGGAUUCAAAAAAAUCAAGAAUUUGGAUUCGGCAAUCGUCAUCACGAAUCCAUUUCAUUCCAUUUCUGUUUGCUGGGAGAUUGAAUUAUAUGUAAUCAUGAGAUAAACAUAUAAUAUGUAUAAUAUUCAAAAAUUGAAUAUCCAGAUUUAACCAGAUACAUUAGUCGAUUU
Molecule: long non-coding RNA, 379 nt
Organism: Pogonomyrmex barbatus (red harvester ant)
Lineage: Eukaryota; Metazoa; Arthropoda; Insecta; Hymenoptera; Formicidae
Source: RefSeq, a predicted model, not a curated record